This 72-nucleotide transfer RNA is filed under the name Batrachostomus cornutus. RNAcentral describes it as "tRNA-Leu". It matches the Rfam family "tRNA". From Rfam's summary of the family: Transfer RNA (tRNA) molecules are approximately 80 nucleotides in length. Lineage: Eukaryota; Metazoa; Chordata; Aves; Caprimulgiformes; Batrachostomatidae. The record is from RNAcentral.
AACUUUUAAAGGAUAAUAGUAAUCCAUUGGCCUUAGGAGCCACUUACCUUGGUGCAAAUCCAAGUAAAAGUA